AGGAUUCGUGAAAACUCCUUGGGCUGUGAUUAAAAAACAGAAUAACAGCAUUGACAAUACUUGUUUCGGUUCAAUCGCUGCUGAUAAGUAUUUCCUGGAUGUCAAAAUUUCUGAUUAUGCUCCUGACUUUAUUUGUGAAUUCACAAAGGGACAACAUGUUCAGUGCUUGGGCUCUGUUAUCAGAAAUGGAAACUGCUACUUUUUCUGCGUUCAGGCCCCUUCUUGCAUAACUCUAGUUGAUUCGCAAGUAACUACUCUCAAAUAUCUUCUUCUAUGCAAGCCAUUGAUGACAUUGCAGGAAGAGAGUAAUACUGCUAGUGCCAAUUCAUCGAAAAAACUGAAGAUAGCACAAAAGCAUUAAUGAACAUUAAAAAAAAAAGAUUGAAAUACCUCUCUCAUCUCCCCUGGUUUAACUGAUUGAGUCUACGAUUGUUUCAACUGAAUAAUUAAUUAUUUAUUAACUGCCAAAAACUCUAAAA
Fopius arisanus is the source of this 479-nucleotide long non-coding RNA. RefSeq lists it as uncharacterized. The transcript is spliced from 3 exons. The record is from RefSeq and is a predicted model, not a curated record. NCBI's taxonomy places the organism in Eukaryota, Metazoa, Arthropoda, Insecta, Hymenoptera, Braconidae.